RNAcentral lists this ribosomal RNA (342 nucleotides) under Thaumatoxena andreinii. Its description in RNAcentral is "partial 12S ribosomal RNA". Lineage: Eukaryota; Metazoa; Arthropoda; Insecta; Diptera; Phoridae. The record is from RNAcentral.
GAUGURAAURUAAAAACUAGAGUAUUAAUAGUUAUAUUCUUUAAAUUUAAAAAAUUUGGCGGUAUUUUAGUCUAUUCAGAGGAAUUUGUGUUUUAAUCGAUGAUCCGCGAUGGACCUUACUUAAAUUAAUAAGUUAGUUUGUAUACCGUCGUUAUGAAAAUAUUAUAAGAUAAAUAAUUUUAGAAAAAUUUAAUURAAUUUUAUAUCAGAUCAAGGUGCAGCAUAUGUUUAAGGAAAUAAUGAAUUACAAUAAUAAUAUUUAUAUGAAUAUAAUUAUGAAAAAUUUAUUGAAGGUGGAUUUGAAAGUAAAAUUAUAUAGAUUAAUAAUUUGAUUAUAGCUCU